RNAcentral lists this long non-coding RNA (457 nucleotides) under Bos taurus (domestic cattle). RNAcentral's name for it is "long non-coding RNA NONBTAT001684". The record is from RNAcentral. Lineage: Eukaryota; Metazoa; Chordata; Mammalia; Artiodactyla; Bovidae.
UACAAAAUGUAUUGUUUAUUAACUAUUUUCGUCAUACAGUGGCAACCUCUUUAACAUCUAGAAAGACUAGAUGUUGUAAAUUAGGAUUCAUUUGUCCAUUAUAUACACUAUAUACAUAGCAAAGUGAAACAAAAUGCACUAACAGAAAAGACAACGGUUAAUCUUGCCUCACUAUAAACACACUGGCACAGAGGUCUGCACUACCCUCCCCUCGUGGCCACCACCCCUGACCUCCAACCAGGGCACAAAACAUGUGGUCUGGCCAAUCCCCCCAUCCCCCAAUAUUUCAUAUGAAUUUUAACAAAAAGGUAUUUACAAAACGUCUUUUUACUAAUGCGACUUUUAACAUAUAUCAGGCACUUCAGAACAUCUAGAAGGAUUUUUCCAAAAAGUACUUAUUGUCAACUAUAUAUACAGUAUUGAGGACUGAAAUGUACACACAAAACAAUGUUUAUAU